This 423-nucleotide long non-coding RNA is filed under the name Setaria viridis. Its description in RNAcentral is "long non-coding RNA (SVIR_LNC000570)". The record is from RNAcentral. Lineage: Eukaryota; Viridiplantae; Streptophyta; Magnoliopsida; Poales; Poaceae.
CGAUGGAAAAAAAAAAGGAGAAAAGAGGCGUAGUACUCUAUAGCAGAAAUGAAGACAAUUUAUCGUCAUAUUACCCGUACAUAUGGAUAAUAUAUAUUGUAAAAAAUAGUUCUAGUCUAAUUAACAGCUGAUUACUUGAGGUGUACACUCUUAUCUCAUGCUUUAUUGGCUAAAUUUUAAGACAAAAAUUGAGGAUCUAGGUUGUGUAAUGUUGGCUUUUAUACAAUAUAUAUAAAAUACAGUUUAAAACUCCGAGUUACAAGCAACUAGUACUCCUUGACAAUAAAACAUAAACGGACAAAAUACGAUUUAUUUUUUGUAUAACUGGUACGUGAGGAAUAGGAUUCUUGUCCAUUGAGUUGCCGUGUUGUUGUUUUUUUUCCCGUAUACUCCCUCCGUUCUACAUUAUACUCCCUCCGUUCC